RNAcentral lists this ribosomal RNA (822 nucleotides) under uncultured bacterium. Its description in RNAcentral is "bacterial SSU rRNA". It matches the Rfam family "Bacterial small subunit ribosomal RNA", at positions 627 to 1445 of the family's 1533-position model. The record is from RNAcentral.
GAGAAACUGAUAAUNUAGAGUAAGGGAGAGGCAGAUGGAAUUCUNGGUGUAGGGGUAAAAUCCGUAGAGAUCAAGAAGAAUACCCAUUGCGAAAGCGAUCUGCUGGAACUUAACUGACGCUAAUGCGUGAAAGCGUGGGGAGCAAACAGGAUUAGAUACCCUGGUAGUCCACGCCCUAAACGAUGUAUACUAGUUGUUGCUUCGCUAGUCGAGGCAGUAAUGCACCUAACGGAUUAAGUAUACCGCCUGGGGAGUACGGUCGCAAGAUUAAAACUCAAAGGAAUAGACGGGGACCCGCACAAGCGGUGGAGCAUGUGGUUUAAUUCGAAGAUACGCGAAGAACCUUACCCGGACUUGAUAUCUAACAAAUCAUCCAGAGAUGGAAGAGUGUCUGCUUGCAGAAGUGUUAAGACAGGUGCUGCACGGCUGUCGUCAGCUCGUGUCGUGAGAUGUUGGGUUAAGUCCCGCAACGAGCGCAACCCACGUCAUUAGUUGCUAACGGUUCGGCCGAGCACUCUAAUGAGACUGCCUUCGCAAGGAGGAGGAAGGUGUGGACGACGUCAAGUCAUCAUGGCCCUUAUGUCCGGGGCGACACACGUGCUACAAUGGCGUAUACAAUGAGACGCAAUAUCGCGAGAUGGAGCAAAUCUAUAAAAUACGUCCCAGUUCGGAUUGGAGUCUGCAACUCGACUCCAUGAAGCCGGAAUCGCCAGUAAUCGUAGAUCAGCCAUGCUACGGUGAAUACGUUCCCGGGUCUUGUACUCACCGCCCAUCACACCAUGGGAGUUGAUUUCACUCGAAGCCCAAAUACCAAACUGGUUA